UACGAAGGUCCCAAGCGUUAUCCGGAUUUAUUGGGUUUAAAGGGCGCGUAGGCGGCCUGCUAAGUCGAACGUGAAAUCCCUCGGCUCAACCGGGGAACUGCGUCUGAUACUGGGUGGCUUGAAUCCGGGAGAGGGAUGCGGAAUUCCAGGUGUAGCGGUGAAAUGCGUAGAUAUCUGGAGGAACACCGGUGGCGAAGGCGGCAUCCUGGACCGGCAUUGACGCUGAGGCGCGAAAGCCAGGGGAGCAAACGGG
This 253-nucleotide ribosomal RNA is filed under the name uncultured bacterium. RNAcentral describes it as "partial 16S ribosomal RNA". It matches the Rfam family "Bacterial small subunit ribosomal RNA", at positions 524 to 776 of the family's 1533-position model. The record is from RNAcentral.